AGAACACCUGGCAAUCCCUUGAAUUUUUCAGAUGUCUCUUCAGAUACAGUGCAUUGAAAGCCCGUGUAUGUAGUAGUACUAAAAGCAUACAUAUUUUUCUUGGCUUCUUCCAUACUUCCAACAACAGUGGCGAGAGUGUUGAGAUACGUCUCAAUCAUCUGCUCCCGAGUCGGUGCCGGAUCCUUGGGGAACUCCAUCACGAUGAGCCAGUGGUUGUAGUCGCAGCCGGGCAGCAGAAUCGUCUCCCUCGGCUCACUGCUGCUGCUCCGCCUCGAUGAGUACUCGCUGUCCAGCGCCGCCGUCCGACCCGCCGCUCGCCGGCGCGAUGAGAAGGGGGGCGGGCGGCUGGGACCGAAGGGGGAAGCGAGGGCGGCGCGCGGGAACAUGAAGGUGGGGGCGAAGGAGGUGAGGGUUGGGGACGGGGUGGGAAAUGAGGGGAUUAAGG
Molecule: unclassified non-coding RNA, 445 nt
Filed under: Hevea brasiliensis (rubber tree)
Lineage: Eukaryota; Viridiplantae; Streptophyta; Magnoliopsida; Malpighiales; Euphorbiaceae
Source: RNAcentral